GACGUAGGUCGCGAACGUUAUCCGGAAUUAUUGGGCGUAAAGGGUGCGUAGAUGGUAUAAUAAGUUAUCAGCGGUAAAUCGGGGCUCAACCUCGUGGAAGUCGGUAAUACUGUUAUACUCGAGUGCAGAAGAGGUUAACGGAACUCCAUGUGGAGCGGUAAAAUGCGUAGAUAUAUGGAAGAACAUCAAUAAUGGCGAAGGCAGUUAACUAUUCUGUUACUGACAUUGAGGCACGAAAGCGUGGGGAGCAAAAAGG
Molecule: ribosomal RNA, 256 nt
Filed under: uncultured bacterium
Lineage: Bacteria
Description: partial 16S ribosomal RNA
Rfam family: Bacterial small subunit ribosomal RNA
Source: RNAcentral